RNAcentral lists this ribosomal RNA (373 nucleotides) under uncultured organism. Its description in RNAcentral is "partial 16S ribosomal RNA". It matches the Rfam family "Bacterial small subunit ribosomal RNA", at positions 527 to 896 of the family's 1533-position model. The record is from RNAcentral.
GUAGGUGGCAAGCAUUGUCCGGAAUUAUUGGGCGUAAAGCGCGCGCAGGCGGUUCUUUAAGUCUGAUGUGAAAGCCCACGGGCUCAACCGUGGAGGGUCAUUGGAAACUGGAGAACUUGAGUACAGAAGAGGAAAGCGGAAUUCCACGUGUAGCGGUGAAAUGCGUGGAGAUGUGGAGGAACACCAGCGGCGAAGGCGGCUUUCUGGUCUGUAACUGACGCUGAGGCGCGAAAGCGUGGGGAGCAAACAGGAUUAGAUACCCUGGUAGUCCACGCCGUAAACGAUGAGUGCUAAGUGUUAGGGGGUUUCCGCCCCUUAGUGCUGCAGCUAACGCAUUAAGCACUCCGCCUGGGGAGUACGGCCGCAAAGGCUG